RNAcentral lists this ribosomal RNA (437 nucleotides) under uncultured bacterium. RNAcentral's name for it is "bacterial SSU rRNA". It matches the Rfam family "Bacterial small subunit ribosomal RNA", at positions 340 to 786 of the family's 1533-position model. The record is from RNAcentral.
UACGGGAGGCAGCAGGGGGAAUAUUGCACAAUGGGCGCAAGCCUGAUGCAGCGACGCCGCGUGGGGAUGACGGCCUUCGGGUUGUAAACUCCUUUCGCUAGGGACGAAGCUUUUUGUGACGGUACCUAGAUAAGAAGCACCGGCUAACUACGUGCCAGCAGCCGCGGUAAUACGUAGGGUGCGAGCGUUGUCCGGAAUUACUGGGCGUAAAGGGCUCGUAGGUGGUUUGUCGCGUCGUCUGUGAAAUUCCGGGGCUUAACUCCGGGCGUGCAGGCGAUACGGGCAUAACUUGAGUACUGUAGGGGUAACUGGAAUUCCUGGUGUAGCGGUGAAAUGCGCAGAUAUCAGGAGGAACACCGAUGGCGAAGGCAGGUUACUGGGCAGUUACUGACGCUGAGGAGCGAAAGCAUGGGGUAGCGAACAGGGAUUAGGAUACC